UUCAGACCAUUUGAUGCAUCUUCUGGGCUUGGGUUCGUCUGUAGUGAAGUCCUUAUAUUGGAUCCUCAAUAGGCUGGGCUACUUUAAUAGUUGAGCUUGGGAUGACAAAAGAUGGAUUGUUCUUCAACUGGUAUGUGCCAUUUUCUCAGCUAUGUUAUUUUCAGGUGUGUAGUAAAUUGCCUUGACCGGACGGCAAUUUUUGGCGAACCAUGUUUGACUAUUAUUGACCAAAAGGGUAUUCUAGUGUAGCUGGUUGAAGGGCUUGGAUUUUACCCGAGUCAUUUGUAAGUUGCUCGUGGUUGUGGUUCUCGAGUGCGUUUAAGACCAUGUCAUGUAUGUAUUGAACUUGUCUUGAACUGAACUUGCUUUGGAUCUUGUCUUUGGUAGGUCUGGUACAGAUAGAACUUUUUGAGCCAAUUCAUGCUGUGUAUCCUCAUCAGUUGUUACUAUGUUUUUUGGAAUAAUUUAUAGCCCAAAAACAUCAAAAAGAAGACUCAUAUUUGUUAAUAGUCAAAUCAACAUUUAUUUGAGUCUAUUUCUC
This 541-nucleotide long non-coding RNA is filed under the name Eutrema salsugineum. Its description in RNAcentral is "long non-coding RNA (ESAL_LNC001728)". The record is from RNAcentral. Lineage: Eukaryota; Viridiplantae; Streptophyta; Magnoliopsida; Brassicales; Brassicaceae.